This 964-nucleotide long non-coding RNA is filed under the name Equus caballus (horse). RNAcentral describes it as "lncRNA (ENSECAG00000040811.2)". The record is from RNAcentral. Lineage: Eukaryota; Metazoa; Chordata; Mammalia; Perissodactyla; Equidae.
AAAUAAUGCUUUAAUGAGAAAAGAGAUGGCCUGAUGCUUCCCCUGUGGGAAUGAGAGUAAAGAACUCUGGGCUGUGAUCCCAUCCAAACACCGGACUGGCUCUGAGGACCAGGAUAGACUCUUCACCUCCCUGCGCCUGAAUUUCCUUACACGCAAAUAGAUCAAGAGAGUGACUUUAACCAAAGUAGAGUGAGAAACAGCAUUGCCUCCUGCUUUGAGACUUAGGUAGAGGAAGAAGACCCCACUGGAUACAUUUGAUUGAAAAAUUUCUCCCAGUGAUGACCGAAGUACUGCUGGAAAGAAGUCUUAGAUCCAGCUAAACAUGGUCCUUUCUAAGGAAGAACUGAUCAAGAUAUGACUGAAGAAGGUGAGCCUUUUUCUCAGGCGGAAAUGGAAGAAAUGUUGUCUGCUGCAGUUGAUCCAGAAUCGAAUUCAGUUGAUUACAAGGACUACGUAACAAUGAUGGUGGCAGAUGAGACUUAAACACUUUAAAGACUUAAUUUCCAAUUGAAAGGAUAAUUUAAAAAAUUGUCCUUGUUAAUUUCACAUUUUAUCUUAUCAUUUCUACAUAUGAUAACUAAUGCUUUGUGACAGCUAUUUCAAUAUAUUUUGUUUUUUAAAGAUGAUCAUAAUAAUUUAAAACUCUUUAAAUAUUUAAACUAUUUAACAUUUUAACUAUUUAACAUAUAAAGAUUUAAAACUAUUUGAGCUGUUUAAAACAUCAAAUUAAAAUUUAUUUGUCUAGCCUCAUGGAACGACAAAUUGCUAAUUUUUUUGAAACUAUUCUUAAAACAUUUUAACAUUAUUUAUCUAUUGUUAAUUUUCUAUAAUAAAACUCAGAUUACCUGCAAAUUAAUUAAGCUGACAAAAUGAAGAAUGAUUAGAAUGACCCAGGUUUGACAUAUGAAGAUCUUGGGAGGGGGCAGAAUGACCACAGAUUGAAAAUCAGUAGCAAAGUGAUGAA